RNAcentral lists this long non-coding RNA (404 nucleotides) under Mytilus galloprovincialis (Mediterranean mussel). Lineage: Eukaryota; Metazoa; Mollusca; Bivalvia; Mytilida; Mytilidae. The record is from RNAcentral.
GGCCGUUUUUGGCACAACUUUUUUGAUCUUUUGGUCCUCGAUGCUGUUCGACUUUGUGCUUGUUUCGGCUUUCAAACUUUUGUAUCUGGGCAUCACUAGUAGAUCUUGUGUGGAUAAAAUGCACUUCUGGCGUAUUAAAAUUUUCAACUUGUUGCCUUUUGUUGGCUGUUGUUCGUGUGUUUCUUUGUCAAUUGUAUUCUCCAAUUUAUUUAUAUUGUAGUCCUGUGGUGUUGAGUUGUCAUCUUAAUGUUAUAUUUCACAUGGCUAUAAAAGGGGAGGUUUGGCAUGCCACAAAACCAGGUUCAACCCACCAUUUUUUUCUUUAAAAAUGUCCUGUACCAAGUCAGGAAUAUGGCCAUUGUUAUAUUAUAGUUCGUUUCUGUAUGUGUUACAUUUUAAUGUUG